Molecule: ribosomal RNA, 478 nt
Filed under: uncultured bacterium
Lineage: Bacteria
Description: partial 16S ribosomal RNA
Rfam family: Bacterial small subunit ribosomal RNA
Source: RNAcentral
GACGAACGCUGGCGGCGUGCCUAACACAUGCAAGUCGAGCGGAGACAGUAGCAAUAUUGUCUUAGCGGCGGACGGGUGAGUAACGCGUGGGCAACCUGCCUAUCACAGGGGGAUAACACAGGGAAACUUGUGCUAAUACCGCAUAAAGCAGCGAGGAAGCAUUUCCUUGCUGCCAAAGGAGCAAUCCGGUGACAGAUGGGCCCGCGUCCAAUUAGCUAGUUGGUGAUGUAACGGACCACCAAGGCGACGAUUGGUAGCCGAACUGAGAGGUUGAUCGGCCACAUUGGGACUGAGACACGGCCCAGACUCCUACGGGAGGCAGCAGUGGGGAAUAGUGCACAAUGGGGGAAACCCUGAUGCAGCAACGCCGCGUGAAGGAUGAAGGUUUUCGGAUUGUAAACUUCUUUAGUCAGGGACGAAUAAAUGACGGUACCUGAAGAAUAAGCCACGGCUAACUACGUGCCAGCCGCCGCAGUAA